AGAUAUGAUAUAUUAAAGGUGUAGUUGGAAACCGACUACUAGUCUUUUAUAUUCAUGAACAUAUUACUCUUAAGGCGACACGGAUGUGUCGUCUUUUUUUAU
Molecule: small RNA, 102 nt
Organism: Staphylococcus saprophyticus
Lineage: Bacteria; Bacillati; Bacillota; Bacilli; Caryophanales; Staphylococcaceae
Rfam family: Staphylococcus sRNA71 small RNA
About the family: sRNA71 is a Bacterial small RNA discovered by RNA-seq analysis of the multiresistant Staphylococcus aureus strain ST239 grown in the presence of antibiotics and found throughout the Staphylococcus genus. It is thought to be a trans-encoded small RNA expressed in diverse conditions and media.
Source: Rfam